AGUCAUUAAAUUAGAUAAAUUUAUUUAACAUAAAAUCGUUUAUUCUAUACUUACCCGUAUGAGUUUCCAAAAUCGACCUAUGAAGAUAAUAACGUAAAUAAUAUUGUGAUUUCAUAUCCAAGUGAGUAAGAAUAACAACUUUAUAUUUUUACCUAUUUACCCAAUAUCUUUAGGGGUCCAUAGGGGUCCCCUCUAUGCAUGGGUUCAAUAUCCAAGUUAUAGAUUAAUUGGUCAUCCCC
This 239-nucleotide long non-coding RNA is filed under the name Carica papaya (papaya). RNAcentral's name for it is "long non-coding RNA (CPAP_LNC012807)". Lineage: Eukaryota; Viridiplantae; Streptophyta; Magnoliopsida; Brassicales; Caricaceae. The record is from RNAcentral.